GAUGAACGCUAGCGGCAGGCUUAACACAUGCAAGUCGAGGGGUAUAGUUCUUCGGAAUUAGAGACCGGCGCACGGGUGCGUAACGCGUGUGCAAUCUACCUUUCACAGAGGGAUAGCCCCAGAGAAAUUUGGAUUAAUACCUCAUAGUAUAGCAGUUUCGCAUGAAACCACUAUUAAAGUCACAACGGUGAAAGAUGAGCAUGCGUCCCAUUAGCUAGUUGGUAAGGUAACGGCUUACCAAGGCAACGAUGGGGUAGGGGUACCGUGAGAGGGAGAUCCCCCACACUGGUACUGAGACACGGACCAGACUCCUACGGGAGGCAGCAGUGAGGAAUAUUGGACAAUGGCGCAAGCCUGAUCCAGCCAUGCCGCGUGCAGGAUGACGGUCCUAUGGA
Molecule: ribosomal RNA, 395 nt
Filed under: uncultured bacterium
Lineage: Bacteria
Description: bacterial SSU rRNA
Rfam family: Bacterial small subunit ribosomal RNA
Source: RNAcentral